UGCAGAACCCUGCAGUGCCCAUCAUCCCAUGUUGCUGAAGAGGUUAAAACCCCUUCAGUGACUUACCUGAAUCCAGCGCCGAUGUCCCUCGGCGCUGGGUCAGGCUCCGCCCACGCUUGUCAGCGGGGAAGACCUAAUGCGCGGCAAUGGCCUUGCACGCGGAUUAGACCUCCCCAUAAGAAAGAAUUAUUAAAUUAAGGAACUCCAGCGUUGUUUAAAAUACUUUUCGUGUUCCAAGAACCAGGAAGUCCCUCUAGUGGCUCUCUGGUAGACAGCCACUAGAGGAGGACUUAACCCUGCAAGG
Molecule: non-coding RNA, 304 nt
Organism: Pelobates cultripes (western spadefoot toad)
Lineage: Eukaryota; Metazoa; Chordata; Amphibia; Anura; Pelobatidae
Source: the annotation of a GenBank genome assembly